Molecule: long non-coding RNA, 1232 nt
Organism: Salvelinus fontinalis (brook trout)
Lineage: Eukaryota; Metazoa; Chordata; Actinopteri; Salmoniformes; Salmonidae
Exons: 4
Source: RefSeq, a predicted model, not a curated record
GACUGUAGAGUGUCGCCGGCGGGCUUGGAGACGGUGAAGGAGUCGGUGUGGCGACUGGAUUCGGAGCCACAGAGAGGGGGCACAGUCUGGCUCUACACCACACGGAGGACAAAGUGCUUCUGCAAAAAGCCCCCAACCAUUGGAGAAUGUUCAGCCUCAGCGCAACAAAAGCCAGUUCUUAUGCACCACCAGUGCCAGCAACAUGCUGAAGAAUAUGGAUAAUAAUCACAAAAGCCAGCUGUCUACUGUUUGAUAUUUCGCAAUCACAAACGAUGACCAAUGCUCAAGGCAGAACAAGAAUGCAUCAGUCAAACAGGAAGUCUCAUCUGAACACAGGACGUCUAGAGAUACACUGCAAGCGAAAAGAGUACUGCACUGAAAGAAACAGGUGUUACAAAGGCACUGAUGGAGAUUGUACUGUAUAUUGUGGGGGCACGCCAAGUCAAGGACCAAAAAUAAAAUAUUUUGUGACAUUGUCGGUUCAUUAUCACACAUAUACAGUACCAAAUAUCAUAUUAUUGUUUAUGCAAUAAAUUGUACACGCACGCGUGCACACACACUCUUGUUAAAGAGAAUAUCUAUUUUUUCUUCUCUGUGUAGCUCUCAUAAAGCACAUGGUUGUCACGUUCCUGACCUAUUUUCUGUUAGUUUGUUAUAUGUGUUAGUUGGUCAGGACGUGAGUUUGGGUGGGCAUUCUAUGUUUUCUGUUUCUGUGUUGGUUUAUUGGGUUGCCUGGUAUGGCUCUUAAUUAGAGGCAGGUGUUUGGCGUUCCUCUAAUUAAGAGUCAUAUUUAGGUAGGCGUUGUCACAGUGUUCGUUGUGGGUGAUUGUCUUCCGUGUCUGUGUAAUUGUUUGCACCAUACGGGACUGUUACGGUUUGUUCGGUUUGUGUAGUCUAAUUGUCCUAUUCGUGCGUUCUUCUUGUUUUAUGUAAGUUCGUCGUAUAGGUCUGUCUACACCGUUUGUUGUUUUGUUAGUUUAGUUAAGUUCGUGUUUUCUUUAAUAAAUUAUGUGUUCAAACUCCACUGCGCCUUGGUUCGAUCAAUACUCCUCCUUUUCGGGCGAAGAGGAGGAGGACCGCCGUUACAAUGGUUUUCCACUCCUAACAACAAAACCAACUGAAGGACAAACUGCUGCAUUGAUCAACCUGAACUCCGUGCCCUUGUAACGCCGAUACAUUUUCUUGGCCCACAGUGAAUUUCCUCCAAACAAAUUGUUAUUUUGUUCUAUUAG